Molecule: transfer RNA, 73 nt
Filed under: Candidatus Moraniibacteriota bacterium
Lineage: Bacteria; Candidatus Moraniibacteriota
Description: tRNA-Ala
Rfam family: tRNA
About the family: Transfer RNA (tRNA) molecules are approximately 80 nucleotides in length. Their secondary structure includes four short double-helical elements and three loops (D, anti-codon, and T loops).
Source: RNAcentral
GGGCUGUUAGCUCAGUUGGUAGAGCGCCGCAUUCGCAUUGCGGAGAUCGCCGGUCCAAUUCCGGCACAGUCCA